This 431-nucleotide ribosomal RNA is filed under the name uncultured bacterium. RNAcentral's name for it is "partial 16S ribosomal RNA". It matches the Rfam family "Bacterial small subunit ribosomal RNA", at positions 29 to 507 of the family's 1533-position model. The record is from RNAcentral.
AGCGAACGCUGGCGGCAGGCUUAACACAUGCAAGUCGAGCGCCCCGCCAGGGGAGCGGCAGACGGGAGCGUAACACGUGGGAACAUACCUUUUGGUUCGGAACAACUGAGGGAAACUUCAGCUAAUACCGGAUAAGCCCUUACGGGGAAAGAUUUAUCGCCGAAAGAUUGGCCCGCGUCUGAUUAGCUAGUUGGUGAGGUAACGGCUCACCAAGGCGACGAUCAGUAGCUGGUCUGAGAGGAUGAUCAGCCUCACUGGGACUGAGACACGGCCCAGACUCCUACGGGAGGCAGCAGUGGGGAAUAUUGGACAAUGGGGGCAACCCUGAUCCAGCCAUGCCGCGUGAGUGAUGAAGGCCUUAGGGUUGUAAAGCUCUUUUGCCCGGGAAGAUAAUGACGGUACCGGGAGAAUAAGCCCCGGCUAACUUCGUG